GACGAACGCUGGCGGCGUGCUUAACACAUGCAAGUCGAACGGAAAGGCCCUGCUUUUGUGGGGUGCUCGAGUGGCGAACGGGUGAGUAACACGUGAGUAACCUGCCCUUGACUUUGGGAUAACUUCAGGAAACUGGGGCUAAUACCGGAUAGGAGCUCCUGCUGCACGGUGGGGGUUGGAAAGUUUCGGCGGUUGGGGAUGGACUCGCGGCUUAUCAGCUUGUUGGUGGGGUAGUGGCUUACCAAGGCUUUGACGGGUAGCCGGCCUGAGAGGGUGACCGGCGACAUUGGGACUAAGAGACGGCGCAGACUCCUACGGGAGGCAGCAGUGGGGAAUAUUGCACAAUGGGCGGAAGCCUGAUGCAGAAACGCCGCGUGCGGGAUGACGGCCUUCGGGUUGUAAACCGCUUUCGCCUGUGACGAAGCGUGAGUGACGGUAAUGGGUAAAGAAGCACCGGCUAACUACGUG
RNAcentral lists this ribosomal RNA (468 nucleotides) under uncultured bacterium. Its description in RNAcentral is "partial 16S ribosomal RNA". It matches the Rfam family "Bacterial small subunit ribosomal RNA", at positions 28 to 507 of the family's 1533-position model. The record is from RNAcentral.